GCCUGACUCCCCCAUGUAUGUGUAUGAGUCCACAGUCCACUGCACCAACAUCCUCCUGGGCCUCAAUGACCAGCGGAAAAAGGAUAUUCUCUGUGACGUGACUUUGAUCGUGGAGAGGAAGGAGUUCCGGGCCCACCGGGCUGUGCUGGCCGCAUGCAGUGAAUACUUUUGGCAGGCGCUGGUUGGACAGACAAAAAAUGAUUUGGUGGUCAGCUUGCCUGAGGAGAUGGUGUAAGGAUCACUAGAUUUCCCUUGAGAGUAAAAGAUCGAAAGCAUUCACAGCACCUUCUUUGCUUGGGGGAAAAAUAAAAGCAACUAGUAAUUUUCACCAUUAAUUCAGUAAGAUUCUAAGAAGUGUAAACUUGCUUUUCUCACCAUUGUUGAAAACAGCCCAC
Molecule: small RNA, 395 nt
Filed under: Pan troglodytes (chimpanzee)
Lineage: Eukaryota; Metazoa; Chordata; Mammalia; Primates; Hominidae
Description: processed transcript
Source: RNAcentral